GGAGGGGUGGCAGAGCGGUUGAAUGCACCGGUCUUGAAAACCGGCAAGGGUGAAAGCCCUUCGAGGGUUCGAAUCCCUCCUCCUCCG
Molecule: transfer RNA, 87 nt
Filed under: SAR116 cluster alpha proteobacterium HIMB100
Lineage: Bacteria; Pseudomonadati; Pseudomonadota; Alphaproteobacteria; Puniceispirillales (SeqCode)
Source: RNAcentral